UAGGGAAUAUUGGACAAUGGGGGCAACCCUGAUCCAGCCAUGCCGCGUGAGUGAAGAAGGCCCUCGGGUUGUAAAGCUCUUUUGUCCGGAAAGAAAAGCAUUCGGUGAAUACCCGGAUGUUCUGACGGUACCGGAAGAAUAAGCACCGGCUAACUUCGUGCCAGCAGCCGCGGUAAUACGAAGGGUGCAAGCGUUACUCGGAAUUACUGGGCGUAAAGCGUGCGUAGGUGGUUGUUUAAGUCUGAUGUGAAAGCCCUGGGCUCAACCCGGGAAUGGCAUUGGAAACUGGGCAGCUAGAGUGCGGUAGAGGGUAGUGGAAUUCCCGCUGUAGCAGUGAAAUGCGUAGAGAUCGGGAGGAACAUCUGUGGCGAAGGCGACUGCCUGGACCAGCACUGACACUGAGGCACGAAAGCGUGGGGAGCAAACA
This 427-nucleotide ribosomal RNA is filed under the name uncultured bacterium. Its description in RNAcentral is "bacterial SSU rRNA". It matches the Rfam family "Bacterial small subunit ribosomal RNA", at positions 355 to 774 of the family's 1533-position model. The record is from RNAcentral.